This 381-nucleotide ribosomal RNA is filed under the name uncultured bacterium. RNAcentral describes it as "bacterial SSU rRNA". It matches the Rfam family "Bacterial small subunit ribosomal RNA", at positions 125 to 507 of the family's 1533-position model. The record is from RNAcentral.
UCUACCCUCAACAGGAGUAUAGCUCGGGGAAACUCGGAUUAACACUCCAUAACAUUACGAUGUGGCAUCACAUUGUGAUUAAACUCCGGUGGUUGAGGAUGAGCAUGCGUCUGAUUAGUUAGUUGGAGGUGUAACGGACCCCAAGACGAUGAUCAGUAGGGGAACUGAGAGGUUGAUCCCCCACACUGGCACUGAGAUACGGGCCAGACUCCUACGGGAGGCAGCAGUAGGGAAUAUUGGUCAAUGGGUGAGAGCCUGAACCAGCCAUGCCGCGUGCAGGAAGACGGCCUUCUGGGUUGUAAACUGCUUUUAUCUGGGGAUAAAAAGCCCAUGCGUGGGACAUUGAAGGUACCAGAUGAAUAAGCACCGGCUAACUACGUG